RNAcentral lists this ribosomal RNA (233 nucleotides) under uncultured bacterium. RNAcentral's name for it is "partial 16S ribosomal RNA". It matches the Rfam family "Bacterial small subunit ribosomal RNA", at positions 122 to 354 of the family's 1533-position model. The record is from RNAcentral.
CAAUCUGCCUUGGAGUGGGGAAUAACGGCUGGAAACAGCCGCUAAUACCGCAUGAUACAGCUGGGAGGCAUCUCCCUGGCUGUCAAAGAUUUAUCGCUCUGAGAUGAGCUCGCGUCUGAUUAGCUAGUUGGCGGGGUAACGGCCCACCAAGGCGACGAUCAGUAGCCGGACUGAGAGGUUGGCCGGCCACAUUGGGACUGAGACACGGCCCAGACUCCUACGGGAGGCAGCAG